Alexandromys fortis (reed vole) is the source of this 1268-nucleotide long non-coding RNA. RefSeq lists it as uncharacterized. The record is from RefSeq and is a predicted model, not a curated record. Lineage: Eukaryota; Metazoa; Chordata; Mammalia; Rodentia; Cricetidae. The transcript has 3 exons.
GUCACUGCAGGGACCACGUGAGGGUAAGGUGCAGCUGAUAGUCACUGCAGGGACCACGUGAGGGUAAGGUGCAGCUGAUAGUCACUGCAGGGACCACGUGAGGGUAAGGUGCAGCUGAUAGUCACUGCAGGGACCACGUGAGGGUAAGGUGCAGCUGAUAGUCACUGCAGGGACCACGUGAGGGUAAGGUGCAGCUGAUAGUCACUGCAGGGACCACGUGAGGGUAAGGUGCAGCUGAUAGUCACUGCAGGGACCACGUGAGGGUAAGGUGCAGCUGAUAGUCACUGCACGGACCACGCGAGGGUAAGGUGCAGCUGAUAGUCACUGCAGGGACCACGUGAGGGUAAAGUGCAGCUGAUAGUCACUGCACGCACCACGCAAGGGUAAGGUGCAUGUUGUAUGGAAAGAGCCUGCUUUGGUCCCACCUGGCUAUCUUACACCCGAAAUAAUCACACAGAAAUUGUAUUAAACACUGUCUGGCCCAUUAGCUCUAGCUUCCUAUUGGCUAACUCUCACAUCUUUUUUUUUUUAAUAUUUAUUUAUUAUGUAUACAAUAUUCUGUCUGUCUGUAUUCCUGCAGGCCAGAAGGGGGCACCAGACCCCAUUAUAGAUGGUUGUGAGCCACCAUGUGGUUGCUGGGAAUUGAACUCAGUACCUUUGGAAGAGCAGGCAAUGCUCUUAACUUCUGAGCCAUCUCUCCAGCCCCUAACUCUCACAUCCUGAUUCGACCCAUUUCUAAUAAUCUGUAUGUCACCACGAGGUCGUGGCUUACUGGGAAAGAUUAGCAUGUCUGACCUGGCAGCUCCAUGGCGGCUCUUUCUCUGCCCUUCUUCCCAGCAUCCAGUUCUGUCUACUCCACCUACCUAAGUGCUGCCCUAUCAAAAGGCCAAGGCAGUUUGUUUAUUCAACCAAUGAAAGCAACACAUAGACAGGAGAACUUCCUACACCAGGUGCACACUGGACAGAACAGGUGUUCUCCUGAGGAUACCGUAGAUACAAUCACCGCUCUCUUAAGGCAAAUGAUGAGGAAGAUAUAGGGAAGUCUGCUAAGAGAUGUGCAGUCUGCUUCUUUCACUUUCAGGAAGUCUGAAGACCCAUGCCUGACCUCUCUAGCCACAGAUACGACUCCUGGUCUUGUGUUCCUCAGAGAGACCGUUGCCUUUCUUGCUGUCUAGGAGCUCGUCCACCUUACAGUGCUUGGGUUUCGGGGUUCUUGUCCUCACUCCUUCGUUCACAGAGUGACAGGCUUCUUACAUUUUGCUUUUUUC